RNAcentral lists this ribosomal RNA (937 nucleotides) under Pinnularia borealis. Its description in RNAcentral is "eukaryotic LSU rRNA". It matches the Rfam family "Eukaryotic large subunit ribosomal RNA", at positions 24 to 1015 of the family's 3401-position model. Lineage: Eukaryota; Bacillariophyta; Bacillariophyceae; Sellaphorales; Pinnulariaceae. The record is from RNAcentral.
CCCGCUGGAUUUAAGCAUAUUAUUAAGCGGAGGAAGAGAAACUAACAAAGAUUGACAGAGUAAGGGCGACUGAAAUGUCAAAAGCUCAGCAUGUGAAUCAGCAUUUAUUUCUAUAAGUGCUGAAUUGUGGUCUUACGGUUCUUGCAGCACUUAGUCCAGGCCAUGUUUUUUGGAAUAAAAUAGCAAAGAGGGUGAAACUCCCGUUUGUCUGGACUUACGACGCAAGGAUUAUUGAGUCGAGUUGUUUGGGAUUGCAGCUCAAAUGCGGUGGUAAAUUCCAUCUCAAGCUAAAUACUGGCAGGAGACCAAUAGCGAAAAAGUACCGUGAGGGAAAGAUGAAAAGAACUUUGAAAAGAGAGUGAAAGAGUACCUGAAAUUGCUGAAAAGGAAGCGAACGAAGCUAGUGAACGCUGCGUCAUAUUUUCCAUAUUGCUCGCAAUUUGGACGCUGUGGCCGGCCGAGUUCGGCUUGAUUGCGAUUUGUGAAAGCAGGCAGAGAAAAGCUUCCAUUUUCCUUGCCGUAUGCACAAGUUGCAAUUGAGCUGAACAAAAUAGAUUUGUUUGCCCCGUCUAGAAACACGGACCAAGGAGUCUAACAUAUGUGCGAGUACUGGGGUAGCCAACCUCGGUGCGGAAUGAAAGUAUCAGAGGCUAGAAUGAAGUGCAUUUGCACAGUCCGCCGGCCUCCAUCCCUCGGGAAAAUGGUCUGAGUGUGAGCAUACAUGUUGGGACCCGAAAGAUGGUGAACUAUGCUUGAGUAGGGUGAAGCCAGGGGAAACUUUGGUGAAGGCUCGCAGCGAUUCUGACGUGCAAAUCGAUCGUCAAACUUGAGUAUAGGGGCGAAAGACUAAUCGAACUAUCUAGUAGCUGGUUCCCUCCGAAAUUUCCCUUAGGAUAGCUGCAAUCUCAUGAGAAAGCCAGUUUUGUCAGGUAAAGCG